AUUUGGUGAUCUCUGGUCAGCUUAUGUUAAUAUGGAUUUGGUUACCUCUGUCACCUUAUGAAGAUUUCAGAUUUGGUUAUCUCUCGUAUUUACAUACAACUAGUUGAUGUUUUUCAUAUCAGUUGUAGAAAGUCUGAGACAAUCAAAGAAAGAGAAAAAAGAAGAAGAGCAGAAGUCACCAGAAAAUGUAGAUGAGAGUGAGAAAUUAUUUGCCAUGUUAUAGGCGAACUAAAUAAAUCAAAUGUUAACAAAGCAAUGCAUGGGAAAGUUUUUGAGGCCUUUUGGAAGACAAUAGAGACAAUGCUGCCAGACGAUUCAAGUGAACGAUAAGAAGAAUAGGAUUGUCUACUCUGCAAUUGGCAUACCCACCAAGGAAAUGGUAUUUCAUGCCCAGGAAAAACCUGAAAAUGACAAAAUGUUAAUGACUUUGAAUUUAUGAUUUAUGUUUGAAUGUACAAAUAGAAAGUACA
Long non-coding RNA from Mytilus trossulus (common blue mussel), 470 nucleotides. RefSeq lists it as uncharacterized. The record is from RefSeq and is a predicted model, not a curated record. Lineage: Eukaryota; Metazoa; Mollusca; Bivalvia; Mytilida; Mytilidae. The transcript is spliced from 4 exons.